AUAUAAUUGUAUUUGUAUUUAUGUUUUAUACUUCAAACAUGUAUUUGUAUAUUAUAAUUUGCACCAUAAUAUAUAUAUUUCAUAUAAUUCACACUUGUAUUUUAAACAACUAUUUUGUAUUUAUAAUUUAUUGUUGAGUGCACAGUAUAUUUGUGUUUUGUGGUUUCAUUUUGCUUGUUAUUGUAUUUGUAUUCUAUUUUCAUUGAUGAACUUGUAUUUUUAAAGAACUAUUUUACAUUUGUAUUUGUAAGUUGACCGUAUAAUGUAUUUGUAU
RNAcentral lists this long non-coding RNA (274 nucleotides) under Capsicum annuum. RNAcentral describes it as "long non-coding RNA (CANN_LNC014306)". The record is from RNAcentral. Lineage: Eukaryota; Viridiplantae; Streptophyta; Magnoliopsida; Solanales; Solanaceae.